RNAcentral lists this long non-coding RNA (768 nucleotides) under Manacus vitellinus (golden-collared manakin). Its description in RNAcentral is "lncRNA (ENSMVIG00005004870.1)". The record is from RNAcentral. Lineage: Eukaryota; Metazoa; Chordata; Aves; Passeriformes; Pipridae.
AAGAAAUGACAGCUAUGCGUGAAGAUCUCCAGAAAGGGCAGGAAUACAAAAAAGAACGGGAGGCAGAGGCCACAAAGCCUCAGGAAUCUUGGAUGAAGGAGGACUUCCAGGAGCUCAUCCAACAAAUGAAAGCUAUGCGUGAAGAUCUCCAGAAAGGGCAGGAAUCCAGAAAGACAGAGGAGGAAAAUCCCCCAAAGUCUCAGGGAUCUGGGAUGGAGGAGACCCUUGUGCAGCUCUGCAAAGAAAUGAAAGCUAUGCGUGAAGAUCUCCAGAAAGGGCAGGAAUCCACAAAUUGCCUUCUUCAGCUGCUCGUAGAAGACCUGAACAAGGAACAAGGUGAGCAGGGCCAUUCCCAAGCACUUCCAUCUCUCUGAACACCAAAACUGCUCUACAGGCAAACCACACUGAGAGCUUGUCCUGCACAGCUCCUCAAAGGGGCUGGAGAAGGACGGCCCUGACAUGGGGCACAGCUUUUGUGCUGCCUGACCCUGAAACAGCUCCCUGCUGAAGUGUUCUCUGCAGGUGGUCAUGGCCACACUUGUCUCCCUCAUCUCUGCAGAGAGUGUGUGCUGUGAGUUCUCUGAUCCCCUGAUCCUUGUUAAGGUUCCCCCCUUGCAGUCCUGUCAGCAUCUCUCUCCCUUUCCCCACUCCCCUUCUCCCACUCCCCACUCCUGGGGCCGUCUUGGGGCACAUGUGAUCCCAACCUUGUCUUCCUGUUGAAGAUCCACAAGGAGACCCAGCUCCAUGAGCACUGCAGGUGUCUCUGAG